AAAAGGUCUUCCAUUCAGCUAGGCAUUCAUUAUCCUUCUUUUAUGAGGAAGAAGAUUGAAAGAUGGGAAGAAAGCAAGGUUUGGGAUGAAGGAGAGCAGAACGAUUUUGGGAGGGAAGGUGAUGAUUAAAGUAAGGCUGAGCCUCUUCUUGGGGACUCUUGGAAAUGUGGAAUGCUUCAGUGUUUGCACAUGAAAACCUACUCUGAGAAAUAGCCACUGGUGUAGAGUCAUGCACUGCUCUCGUGUGAAACCAUGCAGGGGUGCAGAUUAGAGUAUUUCAUUAUCCUACUUAGAUGUGCAUUAUCCAUCUGACCAUCUUAUCUCAAUAAAUCUACUGAUGAAAGUAUAGCCUGGGGACCUGUGUGAACUCAGGUUGGCAUCUGGCUUUGCCAGUGUUGCCAGUAUAGUGUGAAUUUGGGCAGCAGACUUACCUGCUGGCUGUUCAUGAGAGAGAUCAGUAAUUUCCUGUCUGCCAAGGAUACUGGGAGAUUUCAUUCAUUAGUGUUUGUAAAGCAGUCAGAUUCCAGAAAGCAACAGGAAAGAGAUCAGUGCUAAAGCCAAAGAAUCCUUCUGUGGCACCAAGAUACAGAAAUACCUGAAAGAGGUUAUCAGUGAGAGAGAGAGCUGUUUUUUGCACAGCACUACUGUAAUCUGCUUUCUCACAUAGAAUCGCGAAGGCAUCACUUCUGCCUCUUCAUGAGAGGAAUAGGCACUUGGUAACCCUAUUGGGUGAGAGUUUGUGUUCAUUUUCAAAAUGCCAUUGCUUUCAGCCAGCCAAGAAAUCCAGUGCUGAAUCUUUCUGAGUUCUGUGUCACAGGUUUUGCAGGAAUAGUUCAAGAAGGCCAUGGCUGGUUAGAGUUCUCUCCAACUUGUUCUGCAAACCUGGAUAUGGCCGCUUCCCAGCUGGACAGAUGGUAAAGCAGGAGAAGGAGGAGGAACCACUGAAGGAAACAACAGUUAAUUCAUCUUCACUUUCUCUUUGGACUUCCAGGGAGGGUUUUCUCUAUAGAUGUUCAUCUACAACCCAGUCAGCUGGUGCUCUCUGCUUUGCUUCAUGCUGCG
RNAcentral lists this long non-coding RNA (1062 nucleotides) under Dromaius novaehollandiae (emu). RNAcentral describes it as "lncRNA (ENSDNVG00000014340.1)". The record is from RNAcentral. Lineage: Eukaryota; Metazoa; Chordata; Aves; Casuariiformes; Dromaiidae.